This 588-nucleotide long non-coding RNA is filed under the name Felis catus (domestic cat). RNAcentral's name for it is "lncRNA (ENSFCAG00000040619.2)". Lineage: Eukaryota; Metazoa; Chordata; Mammalia; Carnivora; Felidae. The record is from RNAcentral.
GUUACAGAAAAUGGAUGCUAUGAGCAGGAAUUCUGGCAGAAAGACUACCCUCUCUUUUCUACCAACUCUCAUUCCAAGCUAUUGGAAUCCGUUGAUUCAAAGGAUUUUGGAACACAUGGACAACUGGCAUAACUGGAAUCUGGCACCUGUUAGGAUCACAGCAGGAAGAACUAGGGCAGGGAGAAGAUUGACAUCAUUCCAAAUGAAUAUGUGAGAUGCCCCAGACCCUUAGAAGACUGAGAGGGAAAUGAAUGAGUCCUCCUGUUCCUGGAGGCCAGAAGAGUUUUGUGAAACUGCAGAGUGAAGAAGCUUGUUCCAGUGCUUUGGCAAGGAACAGGUAACCUGUGCCUCUAGACUGGAUGCCAAAGCUCUUCUGCUUUUCUUCCCAAUGAGAUUCUAACCAUUUAGGAAACUCCAACCUGUAGUUCCGAGAUCAUGACAUAGCAAGAAACAAAAACAACCUAUCUUCUGUUUCCCAGCAGCUAGAGAGAAGAUGAUCAGGCAGAAUAAUCAGGACACAUUUACAGCAAGUUAGCACAGCUGGUCGGGACAGAUGAAAAUACGAAAGAAUAAAAUUAAUAUUCAGAG